AUUGAACGCUGGCGGCAUGCCUUACACAUGCAAGUCGAACGGCAGCGGACCUUCGGGUGCCGGCGAGUGGCGAACGGGUGAGUAAUAUAUCGGAACGUACCUUUCAGUGGGGGAUAACGUAGCGAAAGUUACGCUAAUACCGCAUAUUCUGUGAGCAGGAAAGCAGGGGAUCGCAAGACCUUGCGCUGAUUGAGCGGCCGAUAUCAGAUUAGCUAGUUGGUGAGGUAAAGGCUCACCAAGGCGACGAUCUGUAGCGGGUCUGAGAGGAUGAUCCGCCACACUGGAACUGAGACACGGUCCAGACUCCUACGGGAGGCGGCAGUGGGGAAUUUUGGACAAUGGGCGCAAGCCUGAUCCAGCCAUGCCGCGUGUGUAAAGAAGGCC
This 384-nucleotide ribosomal RNA is filed under the name uncultured bacterium. RNAcentral describes it as "bacterial SSU rRNA". It matches the Rfam family "Bacterial small subunit ribosomal RNA", at positions 30 to 416 of the family's 1533-position model. The record is from RNAcentral.